UAUCAGAAGUGCGAAUGCUGACAUGAGUAACGACAAAGGGGGUGAAAAACCUCCUCGCCGGAAGACCAAGGGUUCCUGUCCAACGUUAAUCGGGGCAGGGUGAGUCGACCCCUAAGGUGAGGCCGAAAGGCGUAAUCGAUGGGAAACGGGUUAAUAUUCCCGUACUUCUGACUAUUGCGAUGGGGGGACGGAGAAGGCUAGGUGGGCCAGGCGACGGUUGUCCUGGUUCAAGUGCGUAGGCUUGAGAGUUAGGUAAAUCCGGCUCUCUCUAAGGCUGAGACACGACGUCGAGCUACUACGGUAGUGAAGUCAUUGAUGCCAUGCUUCCAGGAAAAGCCUCUAAGCUUCAGAUAGUCAGGAAUCGUACCCCAAACCGACACAGGUGGUCGGGUAGAGAAUACCAAGGCGCUUGAGAGAACUCGGGUGAAGGAACUAGGCAAAAUGGUACCGUAACUUCGGGAGAAGGUACGCUCUUGAUGGUGAAGUCCCUCGCGGAUGGAGCUGACGAGAGUCGCAGAUACCAGGUGGCUGCAACUGUUUAUUAAAAACACAGCACUGUGCAAAAUCGCAAGAUGACGUAUACGGUGUGACGCCUGCCCGGUGCCGGAAGGUUAAUUGAUGGGGUUAGCGCAAGCGAAGCUCUUGAUCGAAGCCCCGGUAAACGGCGGCCGUAACUAUAACGGUCCUAAGGUAGCGAAAUUCCUUGUCGGGUAAGUUCCGACCUGCACGAAUGGCGUAAUGAUGGCCACGCUGUCUCCACCCGAGACUCAGUGAAAUUGAAAUCGCUGUGAAGAUGCAGUGUACCCGCGGCUAGACGGAAAGACCCCGUGAACCUUUACUACAGCUUGGCACUGAACAUUGAACCUACAUGUGUAGGAUAGGUGGGAGGCUAUGAAGACGUGACGCCAGUUGCGUUGGAGCCGUCCUUGAAAUACCACCCUUGUAUGUUUGAUGUUCUAACUUAGACCCAUUAUCUGGGUUGAGGACAGUGCCUGGUGGGUAGUUUGACUGGGGCGGUCUCCUCCCAAAGAGUAACGGAGGAGCACGAAGGUGGGCUAAUCACGGUUGGACAUCGUGAGGUUAGUGCAAUGGCAUAAGCCCGCUUAACUGCGAGAAUGACGGUUCGAGCAGGUGCGAAAGCAGGUCAUAGUGAUCCGGUGGUUCUGUAUGGAAGGGCCAUCGCUCAACGGAUAAAAGGUACUCCGGGGAUAACAGGCUGAUACCGCCCAAGAGUUCAUAUCGACGGCGGUGUUUGGCACCUCGAUGUCGGCUCAUCACAUCCUGGGGCUGAAGUCGGUCCCAAGGGUAUGGCUGUUCGCCAUUUAAAGUGGUACGCGAGCUGGGUUUAGAACGUCGUGAGACAGUUCGGUCCCUAUCUGCCGUGGGCGUUGGAAGAUUGAAGGGGGCUGCUCCUAGUACGAGAGGACCGGAGUGGACGAACCUCUGGUGUUCGGGUUGUGUCGCCAGACGCAUUGCCCGGUAGCUAAGUUCGGAAUUGAUAAGCGCUGAAAGCAUCUAAGCGCGAAGCGAGCCCUGAGAUGAGUCUUCCCUGACAGUUUAACUGUCCUAAAGGGUUGUUCGAGACUAGAACGUUGAUAGGCAGGGUGUGUAAGCGUUGUGAGGCGUUGAGCUAACCUGUACUAAUUGCCCGUGAGGCUUAACCAU
Molecule: ribosomal RNA, 1665 nt
Filed under: Vibrio cholerae
Lineage: Bacteria; Pseudomonadati; Pseudomonadota; Gammaproteobacteria; Vibrionales; Vibrionaceae
Description: partial 23S ribosomal RNA
Rfam family: Bacterial large subunit ribosomal RNA
Source: RNAcentral